Molecule: non-coding RNA, 123 nt
Filed under: Hungateiclostridiaceae bacterium KB18
Lineage: Bacteria; Bacillati; Bacillota; Clostridia; Eubacteriales; Oscillospiraceae
Also listed under: 1 other name
Description: Ruminiclostridium sp. KB18 SAM riboswitch aptamer (S box leader)
Rfam family: SAM riboswitch aptamer (S box leader)
About the family: The SAM riboswitch is found upstream of a number of genes which code for proteins involved in methionine or cysteine biosynthesis in Gram-positive bacteria. The SAM riboswitch acts at the level of transcription termination control. The predicted structure consists of a complex stem-loop region followed by a single stem loop terminator region.
Source: Rfam by way of RNAcentral
UCCUUAUCAAGAGCGGCGGAGGGACAGGCCCUGUGAUGCCCGGCAACCUGUAGCGUGAAAGCUGCAAGGUGCUAAUUCCUGCGGAAUCAAGAGUUACCUUUGUAACUCUCCGAAAGAUGAGGC